UACAGAGGUCCCGAGCGUUGUUCGGAUUCAUUGGGCGUAAAGGGUGCGUAGGCGGCGGGGAAAGUCUGAUGUGAAAUCCUGGGGCUCAACCCUGGAACUGCAUUGGAUACUUCCUUGCUAGAGUACUGGAGAGGAAACUGGAAUUUACGGUGUAGUAGUGAAAUGCGUAGAGAUCGUAAGGAAGACCAGUGGCGAAGGCGAGUUUCUGGACAGUUACUGACGCUGAGGCACGAAGGCCAGGGGAGCAAACGGG
RNAcentral lists this ribosomal RNA (253 nucleotides) under uncultured bacterium. RNAcentral describes it as "partial 16S ribosomal RNA". It matches the Rfam family "Bacterial small subunit ribosomal RNA", at positions 524 to 776 of the family's 1533-position model. The record is from RNAcentral.